RNAcentral lists this long non-coding RNA (1817 nucleotides) under Sus scrofa (pig). RNAcentral describes it as "lncRNA (ENSSSCG00000056332.1)". Lineage: Eukaryota; Metazoa; Chordata; Mammalia; Artiodactyla; Suidae. The record is from RNAcentral.
UAGUCGGGAGAGUUGCUGAGCUAGCGAGGGGCGGUAGAGGGAGGAGCGUUCUGCCCGAGGGUCAAAUUACACAGUGGCGGCUUGGGGUGGGAACGGUGAGCCCCGGAGUCGGAAGAGCAGGCCCAACAGCCUGGUCGCUGAAGCUGAGUGAGCGGCCAUCGCAUCCCCUCAGCCACUCCAGGAUGGGCAGCAGCAGUGGACUGAGCUUCCCAGGAGAGGCUCCUGGCCCGGAACCUGCGGGGUUGUGGCCGUACACUUCGCCAGCUUCCAGCGCAUGAAGUGGCCCAAAGCAGGCGGCAGACUUGGUGUCCCCCGCAAAAGUGACAACUUCAUCUAGAGGCUGUUGCACAGAAACUCUCCAACCAGGAGGAAGAGACCAGCAGCUGCCCUCUCGGUUCCCAGAACGUGCAUUAGAAAUUUCCAGUCCUAAGGGGGCUGCAGCGUUACCCAUCUUCCAACUGAUGACCAAAAAGUGGGCUUGAGAAAACAUUUUACCGUUUAAGAAACUGAACAGGAGGGGGUGCCUUCGUUUUGGAUGCUAUUUUUGAGAAGCUGGUCAAAGAAGGGGAAAAUAGAACUGGUGCUGAAGCCCCCGCCAGGUGGAAGGAUCAAUUGCAUGCUGUCCAGGAGCAGGUAGACCCCAGAUUGGUUGGAACCAGAAGGUUGAUGACACUGACUCCCAAUUACCACCAACCAGUCCGCAGAAUAUCCCCAAGCUGACCAAGCCCUGCUCCUUGAACCCUAUUAGGAAACAAAAUGAAUAAAUUGCCGUGGCAGUCCUUGGAUGAUUUUAACUCGUCAGAUGCCAAUGCCCGAGGUCUUUUAUUGUGCCAAGGCUGCUUUUGCAGUAUUUCAAUGCUCACGGAUCCUGUGAAUCACUUCUUCCUACACUGAUUCAUCCUUCUGAUCGUCUCUUCAUUUAUUCAUUUCUUAGGGGCCCUUCCCCCUGGAGACAGAGGCCUAGUUGCUUUUAAAAAUAUCCCCCUCACUACCACCAAAAAUAGAAAGUCUGGGGAGUGCUGUUGUGACUAAGCGGUCCCACCUUGUCCCUGCAGCAUCUCAAGUCGCUGCUGUGUGGCAGGUUUGAUCUCUGCACCUGGGAACUUCUACAAGACAAGGACAUGGUCAGGAUAUACACACACAGAUUAUCGAUACCUAUUUUGUUUCAGAUGAUAUGAUGGUGUCUGAAGAUACAGACUCUUGCCUUUCCAGAGGCCAUAGGCAGUAACUUUUGACCUUUUAAUGUCCCAUCCCUAUAAUUUUUAACAAAUUGAGCAUCUACCCAUAUAAUAUUAUUUAUAUAUGUACAUAUAUUCUUUUAUAAUUAAUAUAUGAAAUGUUAGUUCAUUUUAUUUUUUGGAUGAAUGCAUAAAUGGAGGUUAAGGUAUUUUUUUCAUUCACUCCAGUGGACCAUCUCAAACACUUCCUGGACUGCUUCCUCAGUCUGCAACCCCCGCUACUGGUAUGCGCCUGACUCUCUCGCUUCUUUCUUCAGAUCUCUGUCAAAUGCCAGGUUUUCAGAGAGGCCUUCCCUGGCCACUCCCUUUAAAAUACUGUCCUCAGCCAUACAAUGAGACACCAACAUCAAAUGCUUUCACUGACAUGUGGAAUCUGAAAAAAGGACAGACGGAACUUCUUUGCAGAACAGAUGCUGACUCACGGAUAUCGGAAAACUUACGGUCUCCGGAGGAGACAAUUUGGGGGGUGGGGGAUGUGUUUGGGUUGUGGGAUGGAAAUCCUAUGAAAUCAGAUUGUUGUGAUCAUUAUACAACUACAGAUGUGAUAAAUUCAUGAGUAAUAAAAAAAAUGAAAAAAAA